GUUUAAAGCAAUGUACAUUUUAUUAUUUAGCUUUAGAUGCAUGUUCUGCAGCAGCUACCCCAUGUGUAAACACAUUUACUGUUUUACAAUCUUCAACAAGUGCUACUGAUGUACAUCUCAUGUGCGGUGCCGUUGAUACUUUAUUAGUAUGCAUUGACACCACAACUUCAUUUUGCAACGCAAGUGCAGCAGAACAGCUGAAGUCAACAAUCACAACGCUGGUGGAAGAGUACAAAAAAGAUCCAUUCAACUGUAACCAGUUCAAAACUACUACACCGGUGACUUCGACGUCAUAUCCUUUACUUCCAACUGAAAUGCCAUCUGGUGUGGAACAUUGUGCUGCGGGGGCAAUGUCGUGUAUUUUGAAAUUCCAGAAUGACGAAAGGUCUGCUAAUGGAAACGUAGAUGUUGUUUGCAUUGCUGUUGAUGAAACGAUAACAUGUAUAAAGAAUGUCAGUGAUAGUUGUGAUCCUAUAGCAGCUGCAGAUGUUAUACAGAGUAUGAACGGUG
This is a long non-coding RNA of Patella vulgata (common limpet), 510 nucleotides long. RefSeq lists it as uncharacterized. The record is from RefSeq and is a predicted model, not a curated record. The transcript has 5 exons. Lineage: Eukaryota; Metazoa; Mollusca; Gastropoda; Patellidae.